This 478-nucleotide ribosomal RNA is filed under the name uncultured bacterium. RNAcentral describes it as "partial 16S ribosomal RNA". It matches the Rfam family "Bacterial small subunit ribosomal RNA", at positions 28 to 523 of the family's 1533-position model. The record is from RNAcentral.
GACGAACGCUGGCGGCGUGCUUAACACAUGCAAGUCGAACGGUAAGGCCCUUCGGGGUACACGAGUGGCGAACGGGUGAGUAACACGUGGGUGAUCUGCCCUGCACUUCGGGAUAAGCCUGGGAAACUGGGUCUAAUACCGGAUAGGACUCCUGGCUUCAUGGUUGGGGGUGGAAAGCUUUUGCGGUGUGGGGUGGGCCCGCGGCCUAUCAGCUUGUUGGUGGGGGAAUGGCCUACCAAGGCGACGACGGGUAGCCGGCCUGGGAGGGGGGCCGGUCACACUGGGACUGAGAGACGGCCCAGACUCCGACGGGAGGCAGCAGUGGGGAAUAUUGCACAAUGGGCGCAAGCCUGAUGCAGCGACGCCGCGUGAGGGAUGACGGCCUUCGGGUUGUAAACCUCUUUCAGCUAUGACGAAGCGCAAGUGACGGUAGUAGCAGAAGAAGGACCGGCCAACUACGUGCCAGCCGCCGCCGUAA